GGAUAAAAACCGCAAUUUUUAUACGUGUGCAUGUAAAACAAAUUUCGUUGUAGAAGGUCUUUAUAUAUUUGGGGUUCCCAAGUUAUUGUUUUUAAUUUCAGAUAGAUAUGAUUUCUGUGCGUAGAAAAUUUAAAGUCUGCAAUUUUAUGGAAGUUUCUGCUGUCGACCUGGAUUUGUAAUAAAAUUUAAGCAACCCGAUGGUAGCCACAGGUCGAGCAUGAUCUGCUUACCCACCCGGAGCACCUGCUAUCAACCCCAGUGUUGGUGGGGUUUGAGUUGCUUAGUGUUUAGUUUUCUAUGAUGUGUCUUGUGUACUAUCAUUUGUCUGAUUGUCUUUUUCUUUUUUAGCCAUACCGUUAUCAGUUUAUAUUCGAUCUUCGGGUUUGAAUGUCCAUUUGGUAUAUUUCGCACUCCUCCUUUAGUGCCUUUCAUAUGUCAUUGAAAUGCUUUCAAUUAGCCAGAAGUAACA
RNAcentral lists this long non-coding RNA (469 nucleotides) under Mytilus galloprovincialis (Mediterranean mussel). Lineage: Eukaryota; Metazoa; Mollusca; Bivalvia; Mytilida; Mytilidae. The record is from RNAcentral.